Molecule: long non-coding RNA, 459 nt
Organism: Anthonomus grandis grandis
Lineage: Eukaryota; Metazoa; Arthropoda; Insecta; Coleoptera; Curculionidae
Exons: 3
Source: RefSeq, a predicted model, not a curated record
GUUGCAGGGCAAAUAAGCAAUAUUGUUUGCGGUAAAAUUGCGCUGCGGUCCUUCUGUAUAUUUAGAUAAACGGUUAUGCUUACGGUCGUUGUAUAAAGACAGUCGAUCUGUGUAUUCAGUUUCUUUGCAUAAUUUAUAUCACGAUUAGAAAGAACUGACGACUUUUAAUCACACAGAGCAGCAGCCAAGAACAGAAUAUGCUUUGAAAGCCAGGUCUUUAGUAAUACCAUAGGAUCCUAGUUGGACAAUUUAGCAAAAUGGGGGUCUUAAUAUUGGGCGUUACCCUCCUAGGUUCUUUUAUCCGCUGCCGUAUCUACGGCUUUCCCGUUCUGGAUUAAUUUUCUUUAUUAAUAUUAUUAUUAUUAUUAUUAUUACUUGUUUCUUUUUUAUAUAUUUGAUAUAAAUUAAUUAUUUGUAAGGGUUAUUUCGUCUGUACCAACAGAUUAACGCUUUUUAUGA